RNAcentral lists this long non-coding RNA (4076 nucleotides) under Linum usitatissimum (flax). RNAcentral describes it as "long non-coding RNA (LUSI_LNC007936)". The record is from RNAcentral. Lineage: Eukaryota; Viridiplantae; Streptophyta; Magnoliopsida; Malpighiales; Linaceae.
GUAUAUGUUUGAUAUAAAUUUGCAGACUUGUAUAUAAAAUCAUAACAUUCUGUUCGUAGCGUCUAUGAAAUGGCUAACGGACGGCAGAUCUUUUGGCCGGCUGUGAAACUGUUUGGUUUGCCGCCGGUGAGAUUAGUAACUACUUCUCACAGCUUUCUCCAACAUCGAUCCCCAUUACAUUUACAACCAGCUAGCUUUCCUUUCACAAGCAACUCUAUCUAGCUAUGCACCCUUCACUUAUAUCCUUACAAACAAAUUCAUAUCAAUCCAGCCUACAUUCUCCACAACUGAACUAGCUACCAGCUUACCACAAACAGGAAACAAAUAUUUUAUUGUUUCGGUUAACCAAAGAAUCGGGUCAUCAUUUGAUAACCAACGUAAAAUUAGCCAUCUUUCAGAUUGAGACACUGUUCGGAAUUCCCUUCCCAGUGAGCCCUCCUUCUCUGGAGUAAUCCGAUGUACUCGGAAACAGCAACGUGUAAGGUACCUUAACCGGCCCAACUCUGUUCUUCAAUCUAGGGUUAUUGUUCAUUUCCAUGAUUCUCCCCUCAAUUUUGACUAGCUUAUCCCCAAAUCGUUUGAACGCCGCUAGCGGUUCAUCGUCUGUAGUCCACUCCACUGUUUCUCGCUGGCCAAGGUAAACCUCGUCUGUGGAAUGCCUUGAUAGCGAUUCAAUGAGUGAUAUCCCUAGCAGAGUUUGUAGCUGCGCUGUGAUUGUUUUCAGGUAGGCCAAGUCCGGAUCUUUCUCUAAUUCCACAUAUUCAGGAGUACCUAGCUCCGGCAUGAAACGCCGGCUGAUGGUGGGACGGUUUGGGAGGUAUCCAGCGUAAGGGUAUUGCCCGAAAUUCACUGCUGCGUGGAGCGCUGAAGCUACCCAUAUGAUGAUGGUGCAUGAUUGUGUGAGGUCUUGGAAAUUUUGCAUCUCUGGCCACCAUGGUUCGUCUUUCUUAUCUCCAUGGCCUUCGUUUCUCAAUUCUGACCACCAGGAUUGGAGUUCCUCGUCGUUCUGGAUCAACUCAUCUGUAGGGUAGUAGAAACUGCAGUACUCCUGCACCCAUGUUUCGAUUGCUGACCAAAUUUCUAGUCCAUCGUUGGCGUAAGGGUAGUCCUCUAUCAGAAGUUUGAGCCCAUGUGGCUUGGUUUGAUCUGGUACUGCUACUCCUCUGAAAGUUUGAUACAGUCUUCUAAAUCAGAAAUCUGGAUACAAGACCUUGAUAAUAAUACCAGUUGAAGAUUUUUCAUGGUUUUUCUUACCUCUUUAUCAGGUCGGCAGGGAGUCCUUGUUCAGUGAAUAUCCAGUUUUUGUACACAACAGCUGACAUUUCCAUGGCGUAUCUUGCUGGGAAGACUGUCAUCUCUAGUAUACCACCAGCAUUGAUAAGGAUCUGUCUGGCAAAUGCAUUUAUAUUCAUUGUGUCGCGGAAGUGUGGUUGCAGAAGCUUGUGUAUUGGGUGGAUAACACUCAGCUGCCUGUUUGUAGCAAUUACGAAAGGCUCUAUCACAGCAUGAGUGUUCAACCUGCAAAAUCAGGGUUGCUUGAUUAACUCUAUUGUGAUUCUUUUACCUUACUAUAUAUUCAACAAACCAUACCAGUGACUGAUGAGUUGGUGGUAUCCGGAAUCAUUCACUGCAACAUAGGCUUUAGCUAGUUGCCAAAUUGAGCCCUCAACUCCAGCUUCUGCUGGAGUGAAUACCUUGCUGACCCCACCGUGGCGAUUCCCCUGUGGAUGAGGGAGGCUUAGUUCAAUAGCCAAUGGCUUCAGUGUUCCAUCAUCUUGAAGAAAGAGAAUUGUUCUGGUGGCAUACGUCUUUGUAGUGGUUGAGUUUAUUUUCCUCAAGUAUAGCAUCAAUGCAUCAUGAUGAUCCAAUAUAAACAGUCUAUUUCUUGCAAUUGCCUGUGACAGAGAAGAGACAACUUUUGAUUAGGAAACUUUGUUAAAAGUUGACCUCAUAUUUGAAUAUGAAUAAAUAAAAAACCUAAGCAUGAUUGACAUACUUCAUCAACAGUGAGACCAUCCAUAUUAAGCUCUAUCUCCUCCUUCUUUAUAGUACUAUGCUGGUUUCCGUAUUCUUUAGGGUCUAGCUGGCUGGCUGGUGGAAACUCCUGCAGAACACAAAUAUCAUGUAAAAAAUCAGUCCAAUUUGGCAAUUUGAUUGCAGAGCAUAAAUGAGUUGUUAGUAGUUCGGAUUUGUACUCUCAGGCGACUGAUGAUGACAGGAUUGACUCCAGCGAGCAUCUCUCGAGCAAACUCUUCAUCAGUCCUCCAAGCAGACUUAUCCUCUGGAACCAUACCAUGGUAACCUCAGACUUAACAUCUCUACUGUAGAAUUAUAUGCAUUAUUGUAAGCUAUUGAUGCUGUAUCUAAAAUAUAGAAUUUCCUUUGCAUACCUUUGAUUACAUCAGGCGUAGGGAACUUGAGAAAUCUCUCACCAUCGUUGCGAACAAGUUCUUUCAGCAGUUCCCAUGGUAUGUUAUUUCUUAUCUUGCUGAUCUUGGCUUUACUUGGCAAUUUGAUGCCCCCUUCGUAGAGGUUGAAAACAUCCUCGAAAGAGUCAAACUCAUUGAUUGUCUUGUCAAAUAAAGAGUAUAUCUCCGGGACAAGUACUUGGACGAUGGACUUAAGACCAUAUGCCAGAAAGUCUGAGAACUUCACAUGUCCAAACCGUUCAUCCCUUGGCACAUAGAUAUCUAGGCUCAGAAGAGGCAAUCUGCUCUCUGAAUUGGGAUCUGUUGUGAACAUGAAAAAGAAACUGUCGUCAAAUUUCUGUUUCACUUAUUGUAUAUCAAGGUGUCCAGUACUAGAACAUAGAUGUGUCACCUUUAUUGGUUGGCUUUCGGCCUGUUCUUCCUCUUCUGGGAUAUGGAUAGUCCUUGGAUCCACCAAUAACUGGGCGUGCAUAUGCUUCCCCCUUAUCAGGACUUCCCAAAUCAUUGUAGUAAGCAUAGUCAUAAACUCUAUCCCACUCCUUGAGCUCCCCUUUCCCGUCACCUCGGAGAUUGACAAGCUCUUCUUCUCUGUACUUUCGCAAUGGCUCUGGUGUUUGACAUGGUAGGUAGGUCUGAACAGAAGCAUGACAGAAGUUGUUUAGAUAAAAAUCUGAUCUUUUUUCUUUUCUUUUAUCAGAGUUUGAUGCUUAGAGUAAGAUUAACUCCACUCAUAUUAUUCUAACUCCAUAUUAUUCUAAAGUUAGCCGAUACCCCAAAAGUAGGAUUGAGACAGCCAAUUGAAAAAUAAAAGUCGGGAAGGAAUCAUGAUGCAAUCAAUGAUAAAAAAAUAAGUUGGAAAAAUGUUGCUGAUUUGGGAGUUCAUCGUCUAGAGUUCCAUUUCCUAUUCGUAAUGCAAAGCUGGUAUGCAUGCCCUUGCCUCAGUAGGAAAAAAAUUAUUACCUUGUUUGAGAAGAAAACGCGGUGAUAUUUGUAUCUAUGCACAGGAUAAACCCAUGAGUUGCAGACGAAAUGGACGCGGCCAUGUCCAGGGACGUGUUCCAACGUGAGCGUCUUGAGGUAAAACUGACUGUGGUGAUGGUUUCUAAUAAUGAAAGCGCCAGGAACGCCCAUAGUGGUGUGUUCCCAGUCGAAGGUAAUGGCGAAAGCAGUAUCUGUAGCUGUUACAGGUGUGAUCUUCUGAGUCCAUUUCUCCAAGAAUGCUGCUUUCCCAAUCUUCCCUCCCAGCCCAUUCGCUGAACACGUAAGUAGAGAGGGCAGGAAGUUUCCCACUGUCAGCUUACAUAACAAAGAAAAAGGCAAUAGCUUUCUUUGUUUUCAUUGAAGAAAGUUCCUUUCUUUUUUCUUUUGCAGUGCAAGUCAUUUAUUGGGCAUUGAUGAAAACAGAGAGAAAGAGAGGAAAAAGAGUUGACCUGGGUCUGGAAGGGAGCUAAUGAGGUGAAGAGAGACGCCUUUGCCGAGAAGCUCGUGAAUUCGAUCAAGAAAGGAAGCCUUGGCGUCGUUCAAAUCCAAGACGUUCUUUCUCAUCAACACUAGAGUUGCGUGGAUCUUCUUGUCGGAUUCCGGUGCUGCGCCUUUGGGAGUGGUUUUGGGGAGCAGGCAGCAGCUUCCCAUCUUCUUCUUUCGUGG